AACGAACGCUGGCGGCAUGCCUAACACAUGCAAGUCGAACGAUCCCUUCGGGGAUAGUGGCGCACGGGUGCGUAACGCGUGGGAACCUGCCCUUAGGUUCGGAAUAACUCAGAGAAAUGUGAGCUAAUACCGGAUAAUGUCUUCGGACCAAAGAUUUAUCGCCUUUGGAUGGGCCCGCGUUGGAUUAGCUAGUUGGUGGGGUAAAGGCCUACCAAGGCGACGAUCCAUAGCUGGUCUGAGAGGAUGAUCAGCCACACUGGGACUGAGACACGGCCCAGACUCCUACGGGAGGCAGCAGUGGGGAAUAUUGGACAAUGGGCGAAAGCCUGAUCCAGCAAUGCCGCGUGAGUGAUGAAGGCCUUAGGGUUGUAAAGCUCUUUUACCCGGGAUGAUAAUGACAGUACCGGGAGAAUAAGCCCCGGCUAACUCCGUG
Molecule: ribosomal RNA, 433 nt
Filed under: uncultured bacterium
Lineage: Bacteria
Description: partial 16S ribosomal RNA
Rfam family: Bacterial small subunit ribosomal RNA
Source: RNAcentral